RNAcentral lists this ribosomal RNA (584 nucleotides) under uncultured Gammaproteobacteria bacterium. Its description in RNAcentral is "partial 16S ribosomal RNA". The record is from RNAcentral. Lineage: Bacteria; Pseudomonadati; Pseudomonadota; Gammaproteobacteria.
UCGAUUCGUAUUACCGCGGCUGCUGGCACAGAGUUAGCCGGUGCUUAUUCUGUCGGUAACGUCAAAACACUAACGUAUUAGGUUAAUGCCCUUCCUCCCAACUUAAAGUGCUUUACAAUCCGAAGACCUUCUUCACACACGCGGCAUGGCUGGAUCAGGCUUUCGCCCAUUGUCCAAUAUUCCCCACUGCUGCCUCCCGUAGGAGUCUGGACCGUGUCUCAGUUCCAGUGUGACUGAUCAUCCUCUCAGACCAGUUACGGAUCGUCGCCUUGGUGAGCCAUUACCCCACCAACUAGCUAAUCCGACCUAGGCUCAUCUGAUAGCGCAAGGCCCGAAGGUCCCCUGCUUUCUCCCGUAGGACGUAUGCGGUAUUAGCGUCCGUUUCCGAGCGUUAUCCCCCACUACCAGGCAGAUUCCUAGGCAUUACUCACCCGUCCGCCGCUCUCAAGAGGUGCAAGCACCUCUCUACCGCUCGACUUGCAUGUGUUAGGCCUGCCGCCAGCGUUCAAUCUGAGCCAUGAUCAAACUCUAAUCACUAGUGAAUUCGCGGCCGCCUGCAGGUCGACCAUAUGGGAGAGCUCCCA